GACGAACGCUGGCGGCGUGCUUAACACAUGCAAGUCGAACGGAAAGGCCCUGCUUUUGUGGGGUGCUCGAGUGGCGAACGGGUGAGUAACACGUGAGUAACCUGCCCUUGACUUUGGGAUAACCUCAGGAAACUGGGGCUAAUACCGGAUAGGAGCUCCUGCUGCAUGGUGGGGGUUGGAACGUUUCGGCGGUUGGGGAUGGACUCGCGGCUUAUCAGCUUGUUGGUGGGGUAGUGGCUUACCCAGGCUUUGAUGGGUAGCCGGCCUGAGAGGGUGACCGGCCACAUUGGGACUGAGAUACGGCCCAGACGGCUACGGGAGGCAGCAGUGGGGAAUAUGGCACAAUGGGCGGGAGCCUGAGGCAGCAACGCCGCGUGCGGGAUGACGGCCUUCGGGUUGUAAACCGCUUUCGCCUGUGACGAAGCGUGAGUGACGGUAAUGGGUAAAGAAGCACCGGCUAACUACGUG
This 468-nucleotide ribosomal RNA is filed under the name uncultured bacterium. Its description in RNAcentral is "partial 16S ribosomal RNA". It matches the Rfam family "Bacterial small subunit ribosomal RNA", at positions 28 to 507 of the family's 1533-position model. The record is from RNAcentral.